GCCAGACUCCUACGGGAGGCAGCAGUGGGGGAUAUUGCACAAUGGGGGAAACCCUGAUGCAGCGACGCCGCGUGAGUGAAGAAGUAUUUCGGUAUGUAAAGCUCUAUCAGCAGGGAAGAAGAAAGACGGUACCUGAGUAAGAAGCCCCGGCUAACUACGUGCCAGCAGCCGCGGUAAUACGUAGGGGGCAAGCGUUAUCCGGAUUUACUGGGUGUAAAGGGAGCGUAGACGGUAUGGCAAGUCUGAAGUGAAAGCCCCGGGCUCAACCUGGGAACUGCUUUGGAAACUGUUAAACUAGAGUGCUGGAGAGGCAGGCGGAAUUCCUAGUGUAGCGGUGAAAUGCGUAGAUAUUAGGAGGAACACCAGUGGCGAAGGCGGCCUGCUGGACAGUAACUGACGUUGAGGCUCGAAAGCGUGGGGAGCAAACAGGAUUAGAUACCCCAGUAAAU
This 449-nucleotide ribosomal RNA is filed under the name uncultured bacterium. RNAcentral's name for it is "bacterial SSU rRNA". It matches the Rfam family "Bacterial small subunit ribosomal RNA", at positions 330 to 794 of the family's 1533-position model. The record is from RNAcentral.